GAGUUCUGCGCAGGCGCUGGCGUGGGCGAGGCGGGGCUCGGGGCUCGCGGUCGCUGUAGCCGCGCGGGGAUCUGGGGUUUCUCUGGGACAGCGGCGGCGGCGGUGGGCGGACCGUGGCGCGGGGACGAGCGGCCGGUUAGCGGCGUGUCGGAGCCGGUGUCACCUGCGGGAGAGGAAGGCGUGAGCGGCGCGCGGAGCCCGGGCGCUGGGGCGGGAGGGGCGUCCCCGGGGGCCUCAGCUGUCCCCGAGCCCGGCGGCUCUCGCCUCCCCUCCCGCGGCGCACCCCAGGCUCGGCGUCCGCUGGGGCCUCCUCCCAGGACCCGGGUUCGCGGGGCAGAGGCGGAAGCAGCAACAGCGAAGCCCCAGCCCGGCCCCGCCACGUCCCCCCGCCGGGGGUCCCGGGACAGCGGCCUCCUCGGCGCAGGAAGGUCCCGCCCCAGGCCCUGCAGCGCGGGAGGUCAAGGUCCCCAAGGGGACCUGCUUCCUCCAUCUCAAACCGCCCUGGCGUCCCCCGGGUGCCUCCCAGGCCCCCAGAGGGAGCUCAGAAAGCCCAGACCCCACGGCCCGCCCCUCUCCCUGCUCUGAGCUGGAGGCAGAGUCCGGGUCUGCGGGGCCGGCCCUCCCUGUAUCCCUGUGAGAGGGUCGGGGACCCGGGGCGUCUGUCUGGCUUCCCCCAGCCCUGCUCUCAGCUCCCUGGGAGCGCAGGAUUUGGACUCGCGGACUAGCUUUCGGAGCCACCUAAAGGAAAUCUCAGGCGGCCCUAGUGCCCUCAGCUCCGUGGGAGCAGCAGAGACGCCAGAGUAUCUCUGUCCGGGCUCCUGAGGGAGGUGCGGCCAGCAGGGCGCUAGAGGAGGAAGAGGGGCUGCUGGAGAGAGAGAGCGCGCCAGGUUCAGGUCCAGGGAGGAGAGAGAGCGAGCGCGCGAGGCGGAGACCUGGAGGGAGAGGAGCUGCGGAGAGGGGUUAGGCGGGGAGGGAGAGAGAGAACCAGGUUCAGGUCCAGGGAGGAGAGAGACAGCGCGCGCGAGGCGGAGACCUGGAGGGAGAGGAGCUGCGGAGAGGGGUUAGGCGGCGGGAGGCCCGGGAGCGUUACAUGUGUGUGGACUCGGGGAGGGCGGCGGGGGGCCGCUCCUCGGGGCCGUCUGCCUGCAGGAAGGAGUCCACGGACUUGCUGCUGAGGCGGAAGGGCAUCAGGCGGCAGAAGGUGCCGGGAGAGUAGGGAAUCUGCGUGCGGGCCCUCUGCGAGGGGACCACCGUCUCCCCGGGAGACAGCCAGGGCGGCAGCCUGGCCAGGAGGCUGCGGUCCAGGGCCUCGUCCGGAGAAAACACAGGGUUGUCAAUUCCUAGGAGAGAGGGCAGCGGCUAGUCAGCCUUCGGAGAGCCCCACGGCGGCAGGGGAGACCUCGCCGGGGCCGUCACCUGCUGGGUGCCUUGGAAAGUUAGGGUCACCGGGAAGGUUAGGGUCACGUGCCUUUCAGGUUGCGGGCCCUUCCCCCACAUCCAUGACCCCACACGCCACAGGCAGCACAGGUAACGUCUCGCUUCCCUCAAGACAUACCCCACCUGCUCCCUGCCCGGCCCACGUCUCCCCGGACAGCAGCCUCCGAGUUGGUUGAGGGGGCACUCAGUGGGUGCCAAGCAGGGCCCUUGAGAACCCACAGGAGACCCCACCCCCCCAGGUCCCAGUGCCCCUGGUCCAAUGACCGAGCUCCCUCCUGGGGCGGCAGGAGCCACCCCUCCCUUAGCCACGACGCCUGUGCCCCGUCCCCACCUGCAGGGGAGUCGGACGCUGUGUCCUUGGUGACACUAGCCAGGAACUCGAUCCCCCCACUCAUCUCCUCAUCAUAGUUGGGGGGCUCCUCGGUGUCUGAAAGUUCCAAGUCUGGGGAAGACAGGUUGGGGUGAGGACUGGGGUCACUGGGGGGCUGUCCUCACAGCCCAGUCAGCAGUGUCCAUCAGCUCUGUGCACAGAGGUGCAGGCAGUCGGGACCCACAGAGAGGAGGGCUAAACCGCAGGGCUGGAGGAGGGACCCCACUUAGAGGGCAGUGUCCCUGGAACCCCAUCCUGGGUGGGUCUGCAGCUGGGGCCCUGACCAUGCCUCCCCUGCCUGGGUGGCUGGAGGGUCCCCAGAGGGGAAGGUCCUGAGAGGGGAGGUUCCCGAGCCGGGAGGGCUGGGGCUGGGAGGUGGUGGCUCCCAGUCCCAGCGUUCCUGCAGGGCCCCCAGCGCACCUUUCUCCUUGAUGGUGAAAUUCUGCGCAGGGCUCUCCAUGGGCAGCUUCCCAUUGGGGAUGCUGCUGUUUCUCUGCGGAGCAAACGUGAAGCUGCUCACACCCCGACACAGCCACACCCAGCCCUGACUGCCCCCGCUCCAGGCCCCAGCCCCGCCAAGCCUCCUGGUGACCCAGCCUUACCCGCUUCUGGGCACGCUCCCGCUUGUACAGCUUGGCCGCCUUCUUGUUCUGGUUGAGCCCCAGCUUGGUCGACUUGAAGGACUCCAGGCGCUUCCGCAUGGUCCUGUGGAAGAUUUCCCGGUCCUGUUUCUCGUCCUCCGUGGGCGUGAGCUCGUGUCGGCUGUACAGAUGCUUGUACUGCGGGAUCAGGCACGGAGGUCACAGCUGUGCCCACCGCCGGACAUUCUCGCCCUCCUGCCGCAGGAGCUGAGCACGGAUCCCCCGUGGUCCCAGGAGGGGACGAGGAAGCCGCCCCACGGGGUCCCUGCGGGGUCCUCCAGCCCCCAGCCCGCAGUGCCCACCUCCUGCCGCGGCUUGUACAGGUACUGCUGUAGCGUGUGGUGCGUGACCAUGUCCUCCGCGUCCCGGAUGCUCCGCCGUCGCUGCUCCAGAGACUGCAUGUCCAGGCAGACAGCGCUGACAUUUUCUCUCCUGCGUGGGGACCAGCGCUGAGCCAUACAGGCUCCCUCAGGGCCAGGAGCCACCACAGCCCUGUCUGUGACUCUCAGCUCCCGAGGCUGGGCUCUUCCCCAGGGAAGCUGCAUGACCAUGGCCACAUACAGGAGGUAGGAGACAGAGGCCUCCACGGUGGACGAUCGUGGCGUGAAGUCCACGUUGACCACGUUGUCGGUGCUGGGGGAGCGGAUGAAGGCCAGGGACCCGCGGCGCUCUCCCUGUGGUCAGGAAGCAGCCCGGAGACCCUAAAACUCCAUUGGCCUCAUGUCCAGAACUGAAUCAGGUUCAGCUCGUGGAAGACAUUCAGGAUCCGGUCUCGAGACUUCUGGGCCGACCGUCUCAUGAGGACCCUGCUGAGGAACUUCCUGUCGAAGUGGGACCACCUGUAGGGACAGACCUUGGGUGUGAGCCUCAGGUGACAGGCGCCCUAGAGCCCGCCGGACGCGUGGCCCGGCCCCUUCUCUCCUGAAUUUUGUUUGCUAUAGUGACCCUGUAGGCGCGUUUAAAAUGAGGGAAGCAGCCCCUGCCACACGCCCAGGCCGUCCGCCGUUCUCCCGCCUGUCCUGUUGGAUGGAGGCCGUUAGACGCAUAUGAAACUGCAUGCCGCCUCCUCCAGAGGGUGGCUCAGGACACGCCUAACGGAAUUAGAGUAUUCGCUGGUUAUCCAGAUCAGAAGGGACGGUGGCCUGGCCGGACUUAGAGGAAACUCUGGGGCACAAGGAGGUGAUGCCUGUCACUUGGACAUGGGUGCAGCCGCCAGAGCCGCCCUCCAGGGCACAGGGUGGGCCCGGGUGAGCUUGUGUGCUCACACCUGGGCAGGCCCCGCGGCAGCAAUGGCAGCUCUCCUGUACAGGCUGAGUUUCAGCCACACCAAGAAGUCAAAGCUAACCGAGGCUGUGCCUUCCGAGACCCCCGGGAUGGCCCCUGGGAGGCCAAGGAGUCGGGGACUGGGUACCCGGAGCAGAGUCACUGUGGCCACGGAGAACCGCAGCUGAGCUUUAUGAAGCCACGUGGCCACACCUCCCGGUGCCUCCACCCCAAGCAAACACAGAUCGCUCAGAAAAUGGGAACCCAGGGCAAAUUGUAUGUGCUCCUUACUGGGUUUAUUAUAAGUGUCACAUGUUUUUUAUAAUAAAACAUAGGUGAUUUCACCUUAAUGGACAAACUCUUUUUUUUAUUUUGGGACGAAGUCUCGCUCUGUCACCAGGCUGGAAUGUAAUGGCGCAAUCUCGGCUCACCGCAGCCUCCACCUCCCGGGUUCAAGCGAUUCUUGUGCCUUAGCCUCCUGAGUAGCUGGGAUUACAGGCCCACGCCACCACCCC
RNAcentral lists this long non-coding RNA (4226 nucleotides) under Homo sapiens (human). Its description in RNAcentral is "HSALNT0324631". Lineage: Eukaryota; Metazoa; Chordata; Mammalia; Primates; Hominidae. The record is from RNAcentral.